UGCAAGUCGAACGAUAGAUAGAGGCUUGCUUCUAUCGAAAGUGGCGCACGGGUGCGUAACGCGUAUGCAACCUACCUUCAUCUGGGGGAUAGCCCGGAGAAAUCCGGAUUAAUACCGCAUAAAAUCACAGCACUGCAUAGUGCAAUGAUCAAACAUUUAUGGGAAGAAGAUGGGCAUGCGUGUCAUUAGCUAGUUGGCGGGGUAACGGCCCACCAAGGCGACGAUGACUAGGGGAUCUGAGAGGAUGGCCCCCCACACUGGUACUGAGACACGGACCAGACUCCUACGGGAGGCAGCAGUAAGGAAUAUUGGUCAAUGGAGGCAACUCUGAACCAGCCAUGCCGCGUGCAGGAAGACUGCCCUAUGGGUUGUAAACUGCUUUUAUCCGGGAAUAAACCUGCUUACGUGUAAGUAGCUGAAUGUACCGGAAGAAUAAGGAUCGGCUAACUCCGUGCCAGCAGCCGCGGUAAUACGGAGGAUCCAAGCGUUAUCCGGAUUUAUUGGGUUUAAAGGGUGCGUAGGCGGCCUGUUAAGUCAGGGGUGAAAGACGGUAGCUCAACUAUCGCAGUGCCCUUGAUACUGAUGGGCUUGAAUGGACUAGAGGUAGGCGGAAUGAGACAAGUAGCGGUGAAAUGCAUAGAUAUGUCUCAGAACACCGAUUGCGAAGGCAGCUUACUAUGGUCUUAUUGACGCUGAGGCACGAAAGCGUGGGGAUCAAACAGGAUUAGAUACCCUGGUAGUCCACGCCCUAAACGAUGAACACUCGCUGUUGGCGAUACACAGUCAGCGGCUAAGCGAAA
This 800-nucleotide ribosomal RNA is filed under the name Pedobacter sp. 2P1G9. Its description in RNAcentral is "bacterial SSU rRNA". It matches the Rfam family "Bacterial small subunit ribosomal RNA", at positions 56 to 856 of the family's 1533-position model. The record is from RNAcentral. Lineage: Bacteria; Pseudomonadati; Bacteroidota; Sphingobacteriia; Sphingobacteriales; Sphingobacteriaceae.